AUGCCAGAAAUAGAUCGGCAAGAGCACAACUGCUCGAAUUCUCUAAGGUGGGUGUAUGGAUCUUCAUCUACUUGCCUAGAGAAGGGUUGCUCCUGAAUCAUGGCUAUUAGAUCAGGGCCGAGGUCGUAGCCAUCUGUAAGAAUUGGAUGUGAUGAUGGUGGUGGCUCUAAUAACUCGCCCUUUGGAGCAAAGAAUUUAUAGAUAGGAGUGAAAUCCAUGUGGUAUGAUGAAAAUGGUAAAGUGAGUGUGGUAAAAAAAGGAAAAGAAAAAGGAUACAUGGAUGACUUGGUUCGAAACUAGCACAGCUACUGUUCCCCGGCAACGGCGCCAGAACGCUUGUUGGGUAUUUUAAACGCAAACAGAAAAAUCCGCAAGCGCAC
Molecule: long non-coding RNA, 380 nt
Filed under: Sorghum bicolor (sorghum)
Lineage: Eukaryota; Viridiplantae; Streptophyta; Magnoliopsida; Poales; Poaceae
Description: long non-coding RNA (SBIC_LNC013919)
Source: RNAcentral